GCCUUCGUGGUGUAGUGGUCAGCACGCUCGACGCAUAACCGAGAGGUUCGUGGUUCGAUUCCCGGCGAAGGCG
This 73-nucleotide transfer RNA is filed under the name Stegodyphus mimosarum. It matches the Rfam family "tRNA". From Rfam's summary of the family: Transfer RNA (tRNA) molecules are approximately 80 nucleotides in length. Their secondary structure includes four short double-helical elements and three loops (D, anti-codon, and T loops). The record is from Rfam by way of RNAcentral. Lineage: Eukaryota; Metazoa; Arthropoda; Arachnida; Araneae; Eresidae.